Molecule: ribosomal RNA, 432 nt
Filed under: Triticum aestivum (bread wheat)
Lineage: Eukaryota; Viridiplantae; Streptophyta; Magnoliopsida; Poales; Poaceae
Description: partial small subunit ribosomal RNA
Source: RNAcentral
AUGUCCAGGAAGAAACCUGAGCUAGGGGAACAGUGGUUUGUCAGGUGUUAUGUUAAUGGAUUAAGAGAUGGGAUAAAAUUUCAACUCAGGCCUCUCAGGCCUCAAACACUUACAGAUGCUUAUUGUUUGGCUAGAGAUAUUGAACCUUGCCACCCUCCCAUAAGUGUAGCACCAAAGAAGCAAGGAGUCCCAUACAACAAUGUUUACCAGAAGUCUAGCUGGCAUUCCCAAGCAAAGCAGAGCACCCCUUUGCAACAGCAGUCACUACCUGUCAGACAAGUAGAAGCCCCUGUUACUAACACUCAAAAAGUGAGAAAAGUGGGGGAAUGCUGGCGAUGUGGGGACAGGUGGGUGCAUGGACACAAGUGCAGACUAAUACCAAAUGUCCAUAUGUUGCAACAGGAGGAGGGGAGCAGCAACAAGAAGAAAUAG